This 379-nucleotide ribosomal RNA is filed under the name uncultured bacterium. Its description in RNAcentral is "bacterial SSU rRNA". It matches the Rfam family "Bacterial small subunit ribosomal RNA", at positions 521 to 896 of the family's 1533-position model. The record is from RNAcentral.
UAAUACGGGGGGAGCAAGCGUUGUUCGGAUUUACUGGGCGUAAAGGGCGCGUAGGCGGCCAGCACAAGUCAGUUGUGAAAUCUCCGAGCUUAACUCGGAAAGGUCAACUGAUACUGUGCGGCUAGAGUGCGGAAGGGGCAACUGGAAUUCUCGGUGUAGCGGUGAAAUGCGUAGAUAUCGAGAGGAACACCUGCGGCGAAGGCGGGUUGCUGGGCCGACACUGACGCUGAGGCGCGAAAGCUAGGGGAGCGAACGGGAUUAGAUACCCCGGUAGUCCUAGCCUUAAACGAUGAAUGCUUGGUGUCUGGGGUUAUAUAGUCCCCGGGUGCCGUCGCUAACGCUUUAAGCAUUCCGCCUGGGGAGUACGGUCGCAAGACUG